This 1051-nucleotide long non-coding RNA is filed under the name Bos grunniens (domestic yak). RNAcentral describes it as "lncRNA (ENSBGRG00000015022.1)". Lineage: Eukaryota; Metazoa; Chordata; Mammalia; Artiodactyla; Bovidae. The record is from RNAcentral.
GAAAAUACAUAUUUAUGUCUCAGAAUGUCUACAGAUAAAACCCACUAGAAAAGGAGUAUGUCCGAGGAAACUAAUUUUGCUAAUACCUAUCAAUCCUUUGAAACGCCCAUAGAAGUAAGUAGGUGGAAGGAGAUGGUGGUGUACCAGAAUGUUCACGUAGUUCUAAAAGAACUUUAGGGGAAAUCCUGUGUUGAAACCAUUUUCUAACACAUUGUUAUCAGCAGCCCCCAGACUUAGGGGUCCUCAGUCGCCAGCUCAGCGAACCGCGAGCGCUCGUGGGCAGCUGGGACCGCUCGCAGUGGCUUGGAGCAAGGUUCUCUCGGCCUUCCGCGACCGCACAAGAGUGGCCCUCGGCCCUCGCCGUACUCGGACUCUACCAACGCCGGCGCAGGAGGGGUGUUUUGUGGUCGCGGAAGAGGAAUCGAGGCUGUGCCAGGAAAGCGGGGCCUCGGAGGACGGUUGUUUCAUCGCUCGCGUGGCUCGCCCGCCCUUCUCCCCUGUCCGCUCCCCACUGCGCCGUUCCAUCCGGGAGCUCUCCCGUGUUCCCGCGACGGCAGGUGAGCGCCCUGGCCCCGGCCCCGGGCCUGCCCCGCUCCUCGGCCGUGGUGGCGGCCAGCGGGAGGCGCCUGCGCGCAGUAAUGGCAGCGCGGUGAGCAGGGACGGAGCUGACAGCCGCCGCCGCCCACCCUCCUCGCCGGGCACCGUCCUGCGCGCCCUCGGACUGUCUCCCUCCCUGCUCCCUGCCCCGCGUCCCGCCUCUGCAGCAGGUAACCCGCUGAAGGCCCGGAGCCAGCUGCGGGCUCCGGGAAACUUCCUCUCCCGACAGCGAAGAUUGAUAGCUCUGGGGAGGAGUGCCCUGCGUGCAUGCUAGACCUGUCUCAACCCUUGGGGUCUGGUGAAAUAAGAUCCUUAGACUCUUAAGGGCACUUAGUUACACACCAGGAGUCUGGACCAUUCCUACCACCCUGCAAAUACGUGCAUGUACAGAAAACAUUUGUGAGUUGCAGACUGUUUUGUCGUUAAAUCCUCUCCUUUCUAACACAUUGUUAUC